CCUGCCCAGCUUUUGUAGGCUGCCUUUUGCUGGUCCUGCUUUGGUGGCCAAGGGAAUGCCUUGGGGGUUGAAUAGGUUUUUGUUUUCUUAGUAAUAUAAUUUUGUCAAACACCUAGUGGUCUUCCAGUUUAUUUGCUUCAGGUCAGUUCCAUGUGUCAAUAAUCACAGAUAAAAAUCUUGUGGAGUCAGAGUUUUUAAGACUGAUGAUAGGGACUUUUACUUAUUACCUCUGGGCUCUGCCUAGGCCCCUCCUCUCAUGUUUCAGAGGGGCUCCCUUAAAGUCACUGAAACAAAGAGCUGGGGUGGGGACACAGCUCUCUUCAUCUAAUUUUUGCACUGAGCUGGCUGCCAUUGUCUGGCAGAGAACUCUUAAAUACAGGUGCUGGGAAAAGCUCAGAGGCACCGUUUCGUCUUCUGAUAUGCCCUGCCCACAGAGGUGGAAUCGAGAGAGACAGUUGGCCUUGCUGAGCUGCCGUGGGCACCACCCAGUUUGAGCUUCCCAGCAGCUUUGUUUACACUGUGAGUAUAAAACUGCCUACUCAAGCCUCAGCAAUGGUGGACACCCCUCCCCCCACCAAGCUCCAGCAUUCCAGGUGGAUCUCAGAUUGCUGUACUAGCAGCGAGAAUUACAAGCUAAUGGAUCUUAGCUUGCUGGGCUCCGUGGGCAUGGGACCUGCCAAGCCAGGCACUGGAGGGAAUCUCCUGGUCUGCCAGUUGUGAAGACUGUGGGAAAAGUGCAGUAUUUGGGUAGGUGUGUACCCUUCCUCCCAGUAUAGUCUCUCAUGGCUUCC
Molecule: long non-coding RNA, 791 nt
Filed under: Homo sapiens (human)
Lineage: Eukaryota; Metazoa; Chordata; Mammalia; Primates; Hominidae
Description: HSALNT0204267
Source: RNAcentral